CUAACUCGCGUGUCAAACCUCGUGUAUGUGUGCUCGUUGUAACAAUGUUACAAGAGAUACCAAUAUAUGUAUCGAAAUUAAUAUUUUUAAAUGCGUUGGAUCGACUACUUCUCGGGCUACGAAAGAGCUGAGAGUAUAAAAAGAUUGUAUAUAAGAGACGAUAUUUGGUAUUCGAGCACUUUUAGCCGAUCGCAACGCCAUGGGUGGCGAGAAUUUGAAACACCCAUUUUUUAACGGAUCGCGAAACAGAUCACAUCACUCCGAUCCUAAAAAUAGGCAGUAUAGCCAAUGGUUCAGAGAAAAAAGAUUUGCUAUUUUUAGAUGUAUGUUAUUUUUAGAUUGUAUGUGUGACCUUGGAACCCCACGAUUUUCGCGAAGGCCCAGAAUUGAAGCCCAUCUUAUUUUGCCAAAUUAGCGUUCUUUCUCGAUUCGAUCGGCGUAGUGAACGGACGUAGUCCCCAAAACCUAGUGGAAGAUAUAGUUAGAAAACUUCGUGUUAGCCAGUCGAUAGUAAAAUUAAAUCGAGAGUAUUGUCUAGUGGUUGAGACCGUGAUUAUAGGCCCAAGUGAGCCAAGUCUAUUGAGCUAGUCAAAUUCAAACCAAGCUCUAAAAUUUCCUACCAUUUUUGGAAAUCGUACAGCGAAAUUCGCUCGAGGUCAAGGUAAUUAUUUAAAUCAGAACAACAUUUGUUAAUAGAGAUGACCAAAAUUGUAAUAUUAAUUUGUUCUCGCUUGAAGGACCAACUAUCCUUCAAGUGAAGGUGUUUCG
Aedes aegypti (yellow fever mosquito) is the source of this 768-nucleotide long non-coding RNA. RefSeq lists it as uncharacterized. The record is from RefSeq and is a predicted model, not a curated record. Lineage: Eukaryota; Metazoa; Arthropoda; Insecta; Diptera; Culicidae. The transcript has 3 exons.